GGACGUCGAAGGUGGGGCUGAUGACUGGGGUGAAGUCGUAACAAGGUAUCCGUACCGGAAGGUGCGGAUGGAUCACCUCCUAACAGGGAGACAAAACAAUGAUUUUGAUGCCUGAGUGCUUUUAUUCUUAGGCCGAAAUCCUGUCACCUUAGGUCGAUCGGUACCUCAGCUUUGAAGUCAAGGAUCAGCAGCAAUGUUGAUUGUUUGAUGGAGAUUUUCAGUUCCUAAACUUUGUCUAGGUCACACCCCAAAAGGGAUGAGACUCCUGGGCCAUUAGCUCAGGUGGUUAGAGCGCACCCCUGAUAAGGGUGAGGUCCCUGGUUCAAGUCCAGGAUGGCCCAUUCGGUGUUGGGGGUUUAGCUCAGUUGGUAGAGCGCCUGCUUUGCAAGCAGGAUGUCAGGAGUUCGAGUCUCCUAACCUCCACUGACCGAACUUGAUUCCCAUCUCCAAUUUUUUGGAGUUGAGCUCGAUUGGAGUGUGAUUUAGAUGUGUCCGCUGGAUGACCCCAGCUUCCUGUCAUUCCAAGUUUUAGGUUAAAGCCUUGAAUUUGGUUGAUAAGAUGCUGGGCUCGGAUCAAAUGAUCAAGCAAUUGAUGAUUUGAUUUGAAGUUCUAGCAGAACCUUGACAACUGCAUAGGUGAGUCUGGAAAAAACAAAGCAUCUUACAGAUGCAUUGUUUUGAAUCUGAUCUUCUGAAAGGAAGAUUAGAUCUAGAACAAUGAAAAUUCUUUUGAGCAAGAGCCGAGACUCUUGAAUGUUCUUUAAUUCGUGUCGAGCGAAUUAGAGUUUGAUCUUGUUUUUAGCAAUAAAAACUUGAGAAUCUGCUUUCAACGGCGGUAAGCGUUCAAGAGGUUAAUUGGUCAAGCUACAAAGGGCUCACGGC
RNAcentral lists this unclassified non-coding RNA (882 nucleotides) under uncultured Synechococcus sp. RNAcentral describes it as "partial may contain 16S ribosomal RNA, 16S-23S ribosomal RNA intergenic spacer, and 23S ribosomal RNA". The stretch from base 351 to 423 matches the Rfam family "tRNA". Lineage: Bacteria; Bacillati; Cyanobacteriota; Cyanophyceae; Synechococcales; Synechococcaceae. The record is from RNAcentral.